Coccinella septempunctata (seven-spotted ladybird) is the source of this 501-nucleotide long non-coding RNA. RefSeq lists it as uncharacterized. The transcript has 3 exons. Lineage: Eukaryota; Metazoa; Arthropoda; Insecta; Coleoptera; Coccinellidae. The record is from RefSeq and is a predicted model, not a curated record.
AAUGGAAAGCGCCCAGUAAUAAAUAGAUGCAAGCCGAGAGAGAUGGGUUUCUUAGGAGGAUCAUCUAUCCUUGUAAAUAAAUUUUAGCCAAUCACUUCCUCUGCUCCAAUAACUGAUUUCAUUACUAUGGAAACGGCUUAAACAGUACCGUACUAUUGUCACGAAUAAAAUAAUUAUCAUUAUGCUCAUAAAAAUGGUGGAAAAGUGCUGUAUUAAAUCAUGCAAGUGUUAAUCGAGUCCUGAAGGGAGUGUUACUUUCCGUAGUUUCCCACAGAAAAAAUUAGAGCUGUAGGAAGAGGGGAUGAUGGCAAUUCCUGAAGAUCAUUCCAUUGUACCUAUUUGUAGCCAACAAUUCUCCAGUGAGUCAUUCAACAAUUUAACACGAACGAAGACCACGAUUACAAUUCCCUCAAUCGAUGAGAAAGAGGUCCAGUUUUGUGAUGCAGUUAUUCAGUUUUCGCUACAGCACUCAAAACCGUCUAACAGAGAAAAGGAACUUAU